UGGGGAAUAUUGCACAAUGGGCGCAAGCCUGAUGCAGCGACGCCGCGUGAGGGAUGACGGCCUUCGGGUUGUAAACCUCUUUCACCAGGGACGAAGCGCAAGUGACGGUACCUGGAGAAGAAGCACCGGCCAACUACGUGCCAGCAGCCGCGGUAAUACGUAGGGUGCGAGCGUUGUCCGGAAUUACUGGGCGUAAAGAGCUCGUAGGUGGUUUGUCGCGUUGUUCGUGAAAACUCACAACUCAAUUGUGGGCGUGCGGGCGAUACGGGCAGACUAGAGUACUGCAGGGGAGACUGGAAUUCCUGGUGUAGCGGUGGAAUGCGCAGAUAUCAGGAGGAACACUGGUGGCGAAGGCGGGUCUCUGGGAAGUAACUGACGCUGAGGAGCGAAAGCGUGGGGAGCGAACAGGAUUAGAUACCCUGGUAGUCCACGCCGUAAACGGUGGGUACUAGGUGUGGGUUCCUUCCUUGGGAUCCGUGCCGUAGCUAACGCAUUAAGUACCCCGCCUGGGGAGUACGGCCGCAAGGCUAAAACUCAAAUGAAUUGACGGGGUCGAU
RNAcentral lists this ribosomal RNA (557 nucleotides) under uncultured bacterium. RNAcentral describes it as "partial 16S ribosomal RNA". It matches the Rfam family "Bacterial small subunit ribosomal RNA", at positions 355 to 923 of the family's 1533-position model. The record is from RNAcentral.